Molecule: ribosomal RNA, 253 nt
Filed under: uncultured bacterium
Lineage: Bacteria
Description: partial 16S ribosomal RNA
Rfam family: Bacterial small subunit ribosomal RNA
Source: RNAcentral
UACGAAGGGGGCGAGCGUUGUUCGGAAUCACUGGGCGUAAAGAGUGCGUAGGCGGUUAUGUAAGUUAGAAGUGAAAGCCCAGGGCUCAACCUUGGAAUUGCUUUUAAAACUACAUAACUCGAAUUUGGGAGAGGAUAGCGGAAUUGUCAGUGUAGCAGUGAAAUGCGUAGAUAUUGACAGGAACACCAGUGGCGUAAGCGGCUAUCUGGACCAACAUUGACGCUGAGGCACGAAAGCGUGGGGAUCAAACAGG